UGCGAGCCAGAAUCUAGUGAAAU
Molecule: microRNA, 23 nt
Filed under: Drosophila mojavensis
Lineage: Eukaryota; Metazoa; Arthropoda; Insecta; Diptera; Drosophilidae
Description: Dmo-Novel-5-P5_5p (mature (guide))
Source: RNAcentral